RNAcentral lists this ribosomal RNA (451 nucleotides) under uncultured bacterium. RNAcentral's name for it is "bacterial SSU rRNA". It matches the Rfam family "Bacterial small subunit ribosomal RNA", at positions 354 to 796 of the family's 1533-position model. The record is from RNAcentral.
GUGGGGAAUUUUGCGCAAUGGGGGAAACCCUGACGCAGCAACGCCGCGUGAGCGAUGAAGGCCUUCGGGUCGUAAAGCUCUUUUAGUGGGGAAGAAAAAUUCCAAGGUGAACAAUCUUGGAACUUGACGGUACCCGCAGAAAAAGCUCCGGCUAACUACGUGCCAGCAGCCGCGGUAAUACGUAGGGAGCAAGCGUUGUUCGGAAUUAUUGGGCGUAAAGAGCGCGUAGGCGGUUUGGUGAGUCUGAUGUGAAAUCCUAGGGCUUAACCCUGGAACUGCAUUGGAUACUGCCAGGCUUGAGUGCGGGAGAGGAGAGUGGAAUUCCCAGUGUAGGGGUGAAAUCCGUAGAUAUUGGGAAGAACACCGGUGGCGAAGGCGGCUCUCUGGACCGCAACUGACGCUGAGGCGCGAAAGCUAGGGGAGCAAACGGGAUUAGAUACCCCAGUAGUCC